CCCUUAGAUGUUCUGGGCCGCACGCGCGCUACACUGUUCGACGCAGCGAGUUUUAACCUUGACCGAAAGGUUUGGGUAAUCUUCAGCAAAGUCGAACGUGAUGGGGAUCGAUCAUUGCAAUUAUUGAUCGUGAACGAGGAAUUCCUAGUAAGUGCAAGUCAUCAGCUUGCGCUGAUUACGUCCCUGCCCUUUGUACACACCGCCCGUCGCUACUACCGAUUGAAUGGUUUAGUGAGAUCUCUGGAUUGACGCUGGCUAGGGGGCGACCCUUGGCCAGACUGCUCGAGAAACUGCUCAAACUUGAUCAUUUAGAGGAAGUAAAAGUCGUAACA
RNAcentral lists this ribosomal RNA (332 nucleotides) under uncultured eukaryote. RNAcentral describes it as "partial 18S ribosomal RNA". It matches the Rfam family "Eukaryotic small subunit ribosomal RNA", at positions 1470 to 1796 of the family's 1831-position model. The record is from RNAcentral.